This 293-nucleotide ribosomal RNA is filed under the name uncultured bacterium. RNAcentral's name for it is "partial 16S ribosomal RNA". It matches the Rfam family "Bacterial small subunit ribosomal RNA", at positions 335 to 625 of the family's 1533-position model. The record is from RNAcentral.
GAUCCUACGGGACGCAGCAGUGAGGAAUAUUGGUCAAUGGCCGCAGGGCUGAACCAGCCAAGUCGCGUGAGGGAUGACGGUCCUAUGGAUUGUAAACCUCUUUUGCCGGGGAGCAAGCCUGAGCACGUGUGCCCAGGCGGAGAGUACCCGGAGAAAAAGCAUCGGCUAACUCCGUGCCAGCAGCCGCGGUAAUACGGAGGAUGCGAGCGUUAUCCGGAUUUAUUGGGUUUAAAGGGUGCGCAGGCGGGCUGUUAAGCCGGCGGUAAAAAUUCAGGGCUCAACCCUGUCGAGCC